This 164-nucleotide ribosomal RNA is filed under the name Phylica ambigua. RNAcentral's name for it is "5.8S ribosomal RNA". It matches the Rfam family "5.8S ribosomal RNA". Rfam says of the family: 5.8S ribosomal RNA (5.8S rRNA) is a component of the large subunit of the eukaryotic ribosome. It is transcribed by RNA polymerase I as part of the 45S precursor that also contains 18S and 28S rRNA. RNAcentral also lists the same sequence under 1 other name. Lineage: Eukaryota; Viridiplantae; Streptophyta; Magnoliopsida; Rosales; Rhamnaceae. The record is from RNAcentral.
AAAACGACUCUCGGCAACGGAUAUCUCGGCUCUCGCAUCGAUGAAGAACGUAGCGAAAUGCGAUACUUGGUGUGAAUUGCAGAAUCCCGUGAACCAUCGAGUCUUUGAACGCAAGUUGCGCCCGAAGCCUAAUGGCCGAGGGCACGUCUGCCUGGGCGUCACAC